RNAcentral lists this long non-coding RNA (2473 nucleotides) under Ricinus communis (castor bean). RNAcentral's name for it is "long non-coding RNA (RCOM_LNC000157)". The record is from RNAcentral. Lineage: Eukaryota; Viridiplantae; Streptophyta; Magnoliopsida; Malpighiales; Euphorbiaceae.
ACUUUUGGAUUGUGUGUAUAUAUAAGCAACAGAGCCAAGGAGGGAGAUAAAAAAUAAAAUUAACAAAAAUGUUUCUGUAAAAAGGGUAAGGCUAAAAUGGGAAUUUGAAGGCACAAAGCAUAUCUAAAGGCCAAAAUAGAAAAAAGAAAGAAAUUGGCAGAGGUGGAAUGUCAACAGCGCGAGAGUACUGGCCCUGCCCUGGCCUGCAACUGCCAAUCUGUUUUCUGUCUGUACUUUUAUCUUCUUUCUUUCUUUCUCUCUCUUUUUUCUUCCUGUUUAACCGGGUUUUCGCCACGUGGCAGUGGUAAAACUUAGGCAAUACUCGAAAAGACAAUUUGACCCUCCAACUCAUUGGCCAAUGAGGUAUGUAUUCUUGAUGUCAUUGAUGGGUUUAUUGACUUUUGACUUUGGGUGGCGCCGUGGUGGAAUGGAAUGUAAGGUGUUGCAUAUGGAGAUGGGAGUCACUUUCAUGAAGUUUACCUGCCGCCUCUGAUCCUUAAUAUCUAAGCACGUAAGGUUAGUGAGUAUCCAUCUAUUAAAUGUUUUCUUUUUGUCUCACCCAAGUUUUCUUUAUGCUAUUCAAGAAAUUGUGUUUAAACAAUUAUAUAUAACAAUCUAUCAAUUUAUUAAAUACAUAAUACAUCUAACUAAAUCUAAUCUUAUUAGCUUGCGCCUUAACUGGUAAACAGGAACUGUAAAAUUAGAAACUUUUUUGUUGCUGGUUAGUCUAAUCUGAUGCUUAUAUUAAUGGAUUUGUACUGUAUGCAGGGUUAUUGGAAUCUUAAAGUGUUGAAGAGAUAUUUCAACAGCUCGCACCAUAAGCAAUGAUUUUCGGUGGAUGAAUUGAGCGAGGCAUUUAACCUUACUUUUUAUAAGGUACUAGUAACCUUCAUUUGCGUUACCUGAUUAUUGGAGAUAUAUUUUGCAUCCUGAAUAUGGGAAUUUUAGCACAAUAACCUAGAAUUUAUAUGAGCAUUAAAGAAGAAGAGAAAGAGAAAUGGCCUAUUCUGUUGUUCUUCUGUGGGCUAGUAAUUGCAGCAAAUAGCUCACAACGUUUAUGUGAAGGUUGGCUAGCAGAGACCCUCCGCCCUAAGCAAAAAAAAUCCCUACCCGCGGCUCAAUCUUUCUUCCUGCAUUUAUUUAAAUGCAGCUAUGGCACGUGAAUCAGUUAUUGCAGAUUAUCCAUAUCAAGAAUGUAAUUGUCACUUUCCUGCUAAUGACGAUUUUCUCUUUUAAAAGUGUCAUAUUAUAUUGAGAAAAAUUUAAAGAAGCAAUUUCUGUUGUUUGAUUAUGUUUCCUCUUUUGUUUUUUCUUUUCUUUUAGGUUCGAUUUACAAUAUGAAAAUAAUAAACUGCUACAAUAUUAGUGAAUUAGAAAGGAAAAAAACCAACCUCAAAUUACUACAAGUUAUACUAAUGCCUCUUUAUUUCAUGUUUCACAUAAAGAAAAAAAGAAAAAAAGGAAAGAGAGCUGAUUUCCAAGCUGGCUUGACAAAAGGUUCACUGAUAACAAAUUAAAGAACCAACAAACAGUCAGAGUCAGAGAGGAUUAUGAAUGUAAUGAUAAUAGAGAAUAUUAAUAGCAAUUAUUGAGGGCAUACGAAAGGAAAAGAUGAUACUUAAUUUAAUAUAAUAUAUAACCAGUUGGUGGUUUUAGAAGCUUUUUAAGAUGCCAAAACCAAGAUGAUGAGUACUGUAAAGAUGCAUAGCUUUUGUAUAAAUUAAUCAGCCCAAGAGACCUUGCAAUCCUCAAAGCUGGACUGAUGUAGGUAUCCAAUGAUGCAUUGGUACUUAAAAAACAGAUAUGCUCAAUCCAUAAAUUAUUACUUAAAAGUAUUGUAUAUACUUUCUCUUCCCAAGUGGGUCUGAAAAAUAAUGCUUCACACGUACGUUCCAUUCUGCAAGGAGGACAGCAAAAGGCACUCGUGGGCAACACCUAUAUUAUGUUUACAUUAUGUAUUGAGCUCAUGCACCAUUUGAUAUAUACAUCAUGUUCAUGAAUCCCCUAAUAUCUGAUAGUUAAUUUAGGCCAUCCAUUUCUUGGUUAUUGCUAAUGGGCCUCCAAUAGGGUUACAUGGCAAAUCGUCUGAGCAGACUGCCAUUCCAUUAUCUGCAGGGACAGGCAAAAGAAGAUCUUUGGCUUCACUUGUGUCAAAGCUUUCUUCUCAAAGUUUGGUUCUGAAGCUUUUGCAGUUUUAGUGGCUUUCAAUCUGGAAAGAGGUAUGAUCAUUCAUGAUUUUGGAUAUUCUGGACCAUAUCUUUCAAGCAAGAGAAAGGCUUUCUCUAUUCCCUCAGGUUUCCAUAGAUUAUGUUUGUAAAGGCAACAAUAAACAGCAAGAUGGCUGGCAGCUAAUAUGUUAAAGGGAAAUCUUCCCUUUACUUGGUUGUCUUGUGUUCCAAAUUAUUUGGAUCAGCUUUUAUCAGUUGAUCCUUUUAAUAUUUACCAAAAGAAGAAAAGAAAAGAAAAGGAAUUG